UUGGAACUGGCUCGGGUACAGGCUUAAUUGUUGGAGUAGGUAGAGGUUUUUUUAGUGAAGGAAUUGGCUUUGGUAUAGGCUUAAUUGCUGGAAUAGGUAGAGGCUUUUUCACUAUUGGAAAUGGCUUUGGGAUAGGCUUGAAUACUGGAAUGGGAAUUGGCUUAAUAAUUGGGACAGGCUUGAAUACUGGAAUGGGAAUUGGCUUAAUAAUUGGGACUGGCUUGGGUAUAGGCUUAGUUACUGGAAUAGGUAGAGGCUUUUUCACUAUUGGAAUUGGUUUGGGGAUGGGCUUGAACACUGGAAUAGGAAUGGGCUUAACAAUGGGAAUUGGUUUUGGUAUAGGCUUUGUUACGGGAAUAGGUAGAGGCUUUUUCACCAUUGGUGUUGGCUUUGGAAUUGGCUUAACAACUGGAACUGGAUUAGGUAAAGGCUUUGUUACUGGAAUAGGUUGAGGCUUUUUCACGGUUGGGAUUGGCUUUGGGAUAGGCUUGAAAAAUGGAAUAGGAAAUGGCUUUGGGAUUGGCUUGAACAAUGGUAUAGGAAAUGGCUUGGGGAUAGGUUUGAACACAGGAAUAGGAAUUGGCUUAAUAAUUGGAACUGGCACGGGCACGGGCUUAAUUACCGGAAUAGGUAGAGGCUUUUUUACUAUUGUAAAUGGCUUGGGGAUAGGCUUGAACACUGGGAUAGGAACUGGCUUUACAGUUGGAGUUGAUUUUGGUACAGGCUUAAUUACUGGAAUAGGUAGUGGUUUUUUCACUAUUGGAGAUGGUUUUGGAAUUGGCUUAACAAUUGGAAUUGGCUUUGGUAUAGGCUUCUUAAUCACCGGAGUAGGAAUAGGUUUCUCGGCUACCGGGCAAGGCUUUGGCUUUGGCUUUGGUUUUUCCACUAUGGGAGAUGGCUUUGGUAUAGGCUUCUUAAUCACCGGAGUAGGAAUAGGUUUCUUGGCUACUGGGCAAGGCUUUGGCUUUGGUUUUUCCACUAUGGGAGAUGGCUUUGGUAUUGGCAUAACAUCUGGAAUUGGCUUCUUAAACACUGGGAUUGGGAAUACUGGAAUUGGAAUUGGAUUUGGUAUAGGCUUAAUAUCUGGAAUCCACUUUGGUAUAGGCUUUUGGAAAACUGGGAUAGGCAGAGGAUUUGGUAUAGGUGUAACAAUU
Molecule: long non-coding RNA, 1154 nt
Filed under: Glycine max (soybean)
Lineage: Eukaryota; Viridiplantae; Streptophyta; Magnoliopsida; Fabales; Fabaceae
Description: long non-coding RNA (GMAX_LNC002460)
Source: RNAcentral